GAGCUUGCUCCUUUGAAGUUAGCGGCGGACGGGUGCGUAACACGUGGGUAACCUACCUAUAAGACUGGGAUAACUUCGGCUAACCGGAGSUAAUACCGGAUAACAUUUAGAACCGCAUGGUUCUAAAGUGAAAGAUGGUUUUGCUAUCACUUAUAGAUGGACCCGCGCCGUAUUAGCUAGUUGGUAAGGUAACGGCUUACCAAGGCGACGAUACGUAGCCGACCUGAGAGGGUGAUCGGCCACACUGGAACUGAGACACGGUCCAGACUCCUACGGGAGGCAGCAGUAGGGAAUCUUCCGCAAUGGGCGAAAGCCUGACGGAGCAACGCCGCGUGAGUGAUGAAGGGUUUCGGCUCGUAAAACUCUGUUAUUAGGGAAGAACAAAUGUGUAAGUAACUGUGCACAUCUUGACGGUACCUAAUCAGAAAGCCACGGCUAACUACGUGCCAGCAGCCGCGGUAAUACGUAGGUGGCAAGCGUUAUCCGGAAUUAUUGGGCGUAAAGCGCGCGUAGGCGGUUUCUUAAGUCUGAUGUGAAAGCCCACGGCUCAACCGUGGAGGGUCAUUGGAAACUGGGAAACUUGAGUGCAGAAGAGGAAAGUGGAAUUCCAUGUGUAGCGGUGAAAUGCGCAGAGAUAUGGAGGACACCAGUGGCGAAGGCGACUUUCUGGUCUGUAACUGACGCUGAUGUGCGAAAGCGUGGGGAUCAAACAGGAUUAGAUACCCUGGUAGUCCACGCCGUAAACGAUGAGUGCUAAGUGUUAGGGGGUUUCCGCCCCCUUUAGUGCUGCAGCUAACGCAUUAAGCACUCCGCCUGGGGGAGUACGACCGCAAGGUUGAAACUCAAAGGAAUUGACGGGGACCCGCACAAGCGGUGGAGCAUGUGGAUUUA
RNAcentral lists this ribosomal RNA (891 nucleotides) under Staphylococcus saprophyticus. Its description in RNAcentral is "bacterial SSU rRNA". It matches the Rfam family "Bacterial small subunit ribosomal RNA", at positions 76 to 949 of the family's 1533-position model. Lineage: Bacteria; Bacillati; Bacillota; Bacilli; Caryophanales; Staphylococcaceae. The record is from RNAcentral.